CGGUGUAAGACCGAUUCCAAGGCGAUCCGACGGAAGCAUCAGAUGAGGCGUGCGAGGAAGAAUGUUCGACUAUUAAGACAUAUAAAGCUGAGAUUGGGUUAAAAAAAGCUAGCGUUAAUCUACAUCGGUCCGUGGAGCUGUCGUGUCAAAAUAAAAAACCGCCAGCACGGCAGCUCCCACCACUUCGUUUGCUACAAGGGCUUCUUCUUCGACUCAGACUAUGUAUUGUCUAUGUGUGCCGCGCUGCAAGCUUACUUAAAACUUGGACGCCUAUAUCGUCUACACUGCAAUAAAUUUAGUUGGUUGUGUGAAGAACCUAAGGAAUGUUUGUGUGUAAUGGAAAACUUCCCUAUGAAUCUUUGUUCAUAUGUGACCAAAGUGUUGUUGUGGGAUAAUUUCUUAUUUUGCUCGGCUUCAGUCCGCCAAGUCUGUCUACUUCUUUUAGUGCCAAUAUUGUGAUCGACUAGAAGUAGUCCCUAGCUAAUAUGUUAGGCGGAUGGAACGCCUUUUGUUCUUAGCGAAUAAAACGCUGUACUGAAUUGGUGAAUAACAAUUGAUUUUAUUUAAUUUUGCUUGGCUAUUUAUACUAAAAUUAACAAAAUACAUUAGCGUAAGCAUAAAAUAAUAAUAUAAUUGUGACGGAUUACUUUAAUUACCGUGCGUAGCUUCGUAUUGCUUUACGAAAUGCAAUUCUUAGCCAGUUGAAGUGUGACAUAAUUCAUGUUUUUCUUUUUGCAAAUGAAUUAUGUUGAUUUUGCAUAGUUCUGUCACACUUCAAAGCGGAUGCAUAAGAACGAUAUGCGAUCACACUACAAUAGGAACGUGAUACCAUUGUUUGCACCCCAUUAAUUUAAAAGGAAGCCCUGGACGUAACUCUCAUUCAAGAACCUUGUGAAAACGCGGGUGCAACUUAAGGUUUGCACAGUAAACGAGUUUUUGCUAGAUCUUGUUGCGACCAAGCCGGAGAUGACACCUCGUCGUGAAAAUCGUGACCUUGUUAUAGUUUCCACCCACCUCACGGUCAAGGCGCGGACUAAACUUAUUAAUCAGCAACGAUGCUAGGCCCGUUAAUACGAUCUGGAGUAGUAAUAGGUAAAGACCAUUUUGAUUAAAUUAUCAUGAUAAAGGAGCGUGCCUUAGUGCUUUCGAAGGCUAUGAAAACUCAGACCCCAGCUAGGGAAAAUUUGCAAGGCAGUUGAAAGAAUGAAGUGUGGCUACUUGUAGGAAAGUUCCAACCAAAUAGACCGCAAAGCUUAAGCCGUGCGAAUGAGCUGCGUGGCGUCACUGCUGAGAAAACUUAAUCGCUCUACGAUAGGCGGCAUGAUUCUAAAAACCCGUAGUCAAUGAAUGCAAAGUAUGCACUAUAAAAACUGAAAUAGAGAGUGCACAUACAGCCUACAGGCAACUGGUCACCUCUUGCUGUCAUCAGGCCCAGAAGAAAAAAAACGCGUAGAUAGAUAGAAAAAAAGACAUGUUAAAAUGAAAAAUCGGCGUUUUUGACAAAUGCAGUUAGUUCCUUAAGACGAGUAUAAUUAUCAGCACAAGUUGUUAUACCAGAACAGACCAAACGUCAGUGUGGUGUUGUCAAAUUUUUUUUAAUACCAAUAUGAGAUGUUCAGCUGAUUCAACUAUCAAGCAAAUGCCGCAGGUGUUAUUGUGAACGGCUCGGAUCAUUUUAAGAUAAGGUUUGUCAUAAUCUAGAUUGGUCAUUAGUCUGCAGAGAACUUUAAUCUCUCAAGACGCAGCGGGCAGAGCUUUGAAAAAGGUGGAUGGAUGUAAUUUAGAAGAGAUAAUCUUCUGGUAAUGUAACAUUAGUGUAUUCACAAUCAAGUUUGUUGAUAAUGGUGCGCAAAGCUUUACUUGGCAAAUAUUUCACAGAUUUAAUUUCUGCUCUAAGUCAUGCUUUGCGUAGGCAAGUGGGCACAACUCAAUGGCAGAGAUGCCGUGGAUUUCAUAGACGUGUUGGUUCAUUGGGUUUUUCUUUUGGAUAAAGAAUAGCGCUGAUCUUUUGGCAGCGUAAAUGACAAGUUUCGUGCUCCUAUUCGUCGUUCUUAGACCUACUGCCUGUUUAAUAGCAAGCAAGUCAAUGAAGGUGGAGGUUAAAUUCUACAAGAUUUUGGUUUCGCCGAUAGCGUCUAGGCGAUAUUUCAUUACUGAAUAACUAAAUAUGUCGUAGCCUACCAAGUCGUCUAUAGCGUGUAUUUCAAAGCAUUUGUUAUGAUAGCUUUUCAGUUUCUCUUUAUAUAAAACUUUUAGGACUAACAAAAGAAUGUACUUUUUGUAUUUAAUUUUUCGAAUACAUGACUAAUCAGAUGCUGUAGCUGUAUAGGAUCUCUUCGCUCAUGACUGCAACUUAUAUAUUGGGGAAGAUUGCAGGUGGCAGAAAAUUCGAAUUCUAUUUUUCACUCGACCAAUGGCUUGUAGAUCAAGAAGACUUUUGGGGGCAGAAUCGCGUGUUUGUUAAUCAAUAUUGAGAAUCAGACUGACAAUUUUUGAAAGCCUUUUUACAGUGGUUACGGGAAGUGAGGCUUCAGUUGGUGGAAAUUUCAAUAAGCUGACAAGACCUGUAUUAAUUUACUUUGAUUUUUUAUUCGAUCUCUUUACUGAAAAAGUGCAUUGUAUUUGUUCGAAUUUAAAUAUAAAUUAAGUUUAGCUCAUUCAGAUUUGCUUUUGUAGAGAGAUUCUCAACGGCAUCAUUGACUGACACAACCGACGAAACUAGCAGAACUACUACUGUCAUCAGUAUAUUGGAAUAUAUGGGAUUUCCAGGCUGGCAGGUGGUGCAAGUUGGCCGUGUACAAGUUGAAAAGGAAGGCGCUUAAGCAGCUGAUUUGCGGCACACAGCUUUGAACCACAGCCCAAGAUCAGAAAUCGGCUCGAAUGAAUGUAGAGGGGAAUGUCAACGAAAAUAAGAGCUUUUAAUGUCAAGAGCCAAUAAAACCUUUCUGUCUGCUUCUUUUCACAAUGAAUAAUUCAUUGAUGCACAUGUCUGUUGACUUGUGUUUUCAAUACGCCAAAGAACAAGCGGGUGUGAUGCUGAUGAUGAGCAUUAAGAGAAAAGAUGAAUCUUUCUUUGAACAUAAAGUUCAUGAUUUUUAGUAAGCUGAAGUAAGAUCGAUCGGCUUAUAGUUCCUAAUAUUAUCAUUGCUUCUGUCAGGCUUGGGGAUUGAAAUGAUCUUGAUGAGGCAGCAAUUAUCAGGAAAGGUAUUAGUUGUCCUAUAAUGAUUGAUGGCGUCAAAUAAAGUUAUACGACUGUUUUUUGAAAGCGCUCCUCGUAACCAGCUCAAGAAAGUUUCUUCUUAGAAUGCAGAGCACGUGAGAAGUCCUUGUACCAGAAAAGAGCAAUACUAUCAAAAUGUUGAGGUAGAGCCUAGCAUUGCUUCUGAUAAAUUUUGGAUCUAGUCCGUGGAUGUUUUGCGCACAAUUUAAAAUCGUUCAGUGUAGGUCCUGGAAAUAUACGCUUUCAGGUUUUUAGAUAGCAGGUCGCUAUUUAACAUAAAAUUGUUUGCAAUGGACGCACGGUAAAGAGUGUAACUUUACAUUUGUUUACAAUUUUUAUGGCUUCUAGAUGUGUUAAUUUGAAGCUGUUUAGAUAUUCAUAAAAAGCCAAAUCGGAGGAGAUCAAGAUUCGUUGAUUCUCGCUAUUUGGGCACAUCGUGGUCAGCUGGUCAUCUACACAUAGGUUCAUUUGAGGUUGGUUAAUGGCUGUCAAACCAGGGAAGAGCCAGAGUUUUCAUCGGUUAUCUCAACUUCGUUAGCGCCAACAGCGGAAGAAGACUGUUACUUGCCGAUUUGUCUUCAUUAUUGACAUGCUUCAGAAGCUUUUCCGGUGGCAUUUCAAAGAGAUUUAUGUUGUUUUUUGUUUUUAAAUUGAUCAAAUUUA
Long non-coding RNA from Glossina fuscipes, 3883 nucleotides. RefSeq lists it as uncharacterized. The transcript is spliced from 2 exons. The record is from RefSeq and is a predicted model, not a curated record. Lineage: Eukaryota; Metazoa; Arthropoda; Insecta; Diptera; Glossinidae.